AUGGCGUCGGGCGCCGCCAGGUCGUCGCGGUCGCGCCCGGCCGGCCACUCCGGCGUGCUCCCGGCGGGCGCCGCGGCGGCGGGCGGCGUCGGCGGGGGCGCCGGCGUGCAGCUCGCCGACAAGCUCAAGAUCUUCAAGACCGACAAGUUCGACCCCGACUCGUACGUGCAGUCCAAGUGCCAGACCAUGACCGAGAAGGAAAUAAGGCACCUGUGUUCUUAUCUGCAAGACCUAAAGAAGGCUUCUGCUGAAGAGAUGCGUACAAGUGUAUAUGCUAAUUAUGCUGCAUUCAUCAGAACAUCGAAGGAGAUAUCUGAACUUGAAAGGGAGCUGCUAUCUAUCCGAAAUCUGCUAAAUACAGAGUCAGCUCUAAUUCAUGGUCUAUCCGAAGGGAUUCAGAUUGAUUCCUUGAUUAUGGGACCUGAAGAUUCCGCAGAAGAGAACAUCUCCACUGUUGAAUACCAGGAACUUUCAGAAAUACAGAAAUGGCAUAUAGAUUUUCCCGACAAGCUUGAUGUCUUGCUAGCUGAGAGAAGAGUGGAUGAAGCACUGGAUGCCCUGGAUGAAGCAGAACGAAUUGCUGUUGAUGCAGAAAAGAAACAGACUCUUGCCACAGCUGACAUUGUUGCUUUGAAGGGGGUUAUCUCUGAUAAUCGUCAGAAGCUGUCAGAUCAACUUGCUGAAGCUGCCUGCCAGUCUUCUACUUGUGGCGUUGAACUUCGUGCUGCAGCUUCUGCUCUCAAGCGACUUGGUGAUGGACCUCGUGCUCAUAGUUUGUUGCUCAGUGCACAUAACCAAAGGCUUCAGUCCAAAAUACAAACAACACGUCCGUCUAGCACAGUGCAUAGUGUGGCUUACACCGCGUCUCUUGCAAAGCAAGUUUUCUCUGUCAUAGCUAAUGCUCUCAGUGACUCUAUGGAAGUGUUUGGUGAUGAACCAUCCUAUGCAUCUGAACUAGUUACUUGGGCUACUAAGCAGGCAAUGGAGUUUACCUUGCUUGUGAAGAGGCAUGCUUUAGGAUCUUGUGCAGCAGCUGGGGGCUUAAGAGCUGCUGCCGAGUGCGUUCAGAUAGCACUUGGUUAUACCUCCUUGUUAGAAGCUCGUGGUCUGUCACUUUCAGCAGUUCUCUUGAAACAGUUCAGACCCUGUGUCGAGCAAGCAUUAGAUUCCAAUUUAAGGAGAAUCGAAGAGAGUACUUCUGCAUUAGCGGCAGCUGAUGACUGGGCACUAAUCUAUCCUCCAACUGGUAUAAGGACAUUUGCUAGAGCAUCUGCUGGUAAUUUGGCACUCCAGCCGAAGCUCUCGAGCAGUGCCCAUCGGUUCAAUUCAAUGGUUCAGGAUUUCUUUGAGGAUGUUGGGCCACUGCUUAGUUUGCAGUUGGGUGGUUCUAUAAUGGAUGGGCUUCUGAAAAUAUUCAAUACAUAUGUCGAUUUGCUCGUGAGUGCACUGCCGGGCUCAAUGGAUGAUGAAGCAAAUUUGGAAGGUUUAGGAAAUAAGAUUAUUCGCAUGGCAGAGACCGAGGAGCAGCAAUUAGCAUUGUUAGCCAAUGCAUCCUUACUUGCCGAGGAGUUGUUACCUAGAGCAGCUAUGAAGCUCUCGUCUGUAAACCAGGCCAGCAUGGGCAGUAUGCGUAUAAGGGGUCCCGACAAGCAAAACCGUGCUGAGCAACGCGAAUGGAAAAGGAAGCUGCAACAUAUGGUGGAUAAACUUAGAGAUAGUUUCUGCAGGCAGCAUGCUCUUGAUCUUAUAUUCACGGAAGAAGGUGACACCCAUCUGAGCGCAGAAAUGUACAUCAAUAUGGACAAUAAUGCUGAAGAGAUAGAAUGGGUUCCAUCUCUAAUUUUUCAGUCCACAUUGCAGGAAUUAUACACAAAACUGAAUAGGAUGGCGAGCAUCGCUGCAGAGAUGUUUGUUGGCAGGGAAAGGUUUGCUACGUUGCUGAUGAUGCGGCUGACUGAAACAGUCAUACUGUGGCUCUCGGAUGACCAGAGCUUCUGGGAGGAAAUCGAAGAGGGGCCAAGGGCUCUCGGCCCCCUUGGUCUUCAGCAGUUCUACCUGGACAUGCAGUUUGUCAUCCUUUUCGGGCAAGGCCGGUUCUUGUCGCGGCACGUGCACAAUGUCAUACUGCACAUAAUUGAUAGAGCGAUGGCAGCAUUCUCUGCUACCGGAUUGGAUCCUGAUAGCGCGCUUCCAAGCGACGACUGGUUCAUCGAAGUCGCGCAAGACAGCAUCAGCAGGAUCAGCGGGAAGGCCCGGGCCGGCAACUCGGAGAGGGAGGUGCACAGCCCGACGGCCUCUGUCUCGGCGCAGUCUGUGUCGUCGGCCAGGUCCCACGGCAGCUCCUAG
This 2346-nucleotide ribosomal RNA is filed under the name Triticum aestivum (bread wheat). RNAcentral describes it as "partial small subunit ribosomal RNA". The record is from RNAcentral. Lineage: Eukaryota; Viridiplantae; Streptophyta; Magnoliopsida; Poales; Poaceae.